RNAcentral lists this ribosomal RNA (959 nucleotides) under Phileurus sp. Phi. RNAcentral describes it as "partial 16S ribosomal RNA". The stretch from base 378 to 959 matches the Rfam family "Archaeal large subunit ribosomal RNA", at positions 1423 to 2653 of the family's 2987-position model. Lineage: Eukaryota; Metazoa; Arthropoda; Insecta; Coleoptera; Scarabaeidae. The record is from RNAcentral.
AGUUUUCUCGAAUUAAUAAGAGCUAUAGUUUUAUCAAUUUAAUUGUGGCACAAAUUUUUAACAUAAAGUUAUGGCAGUGAAACGUUAAUCGUUUUUUAAGAUAUCUAGUUUCUUAAGAAAUAAAUUUAAUUUAAUCUUUAUGAUAUACAUUAUUAAUUUUUUAGCAGUGUAUUUGUAUAGUUAAAUGUUUUAAGGGAUUAGCUUUAAAACAAAUUAUUAAACUAAAAGAUUUUAGGAAAAGGUUUGUAGGAUUGGAAAUGUCUUUCUCUAGUUUGUUAUAAUUAACCUUUUGAAGAAUAAGAUUUAUAUUUAAGUUUAGAUUUUUUAUUAAGAUUACUUUUUUAAUAUGAUAGUAUGUGGAAUAAUGAUAAAAUUAGUAUAUAAAUUUGUAUAUAGUUUUGUAUGUUUUAGGUUAAGCUAAGGAACUCGGCAAAUUAGCUUUUCGCCUGUUUAUUAAAAACAUGUCUUUUUGAUUAUAAUUUAAAGUCUGACCUGCCCAAUGAGGAUUUAAAUGGCCGCGGUAAUUUGACCGUGCAAAGGUAGCAUAAUCAUUAGUUUUUUAAUUGAAAGCUGGAAUGAACGGUUGGACGAGAAAGCAGCUGUCUCAGUUUAAUUUUUAGUAGAAUUUUAUUUGUAAGUAAAAAAGCUUACAUUAUUUUAAAAGACGAGAAGACCCUAUAGAAUUUUAUAGUUACUUAUUUGAUUGGUGAUUAGAAUAUAAGCUAUUUAAGUAAUAUACUAUUUUGUUGGGGCGACAGAAAAAUUAGUUAAACUUUUUUUUGGACUAUUUCAUUAAUAUAUGUGUAGUUGAUCCGUUUUUUACGAUUAAAAGAUAAAAUUACCUUAGGGAUAACAGCGUAAUUUUUUUUUAGAGUUCUUAUCGAAAAAAGAGUUUGCGACCUCGAUGUUGGAUUAAAAUUAACUUUUGGUGUAGGGGCUACAAGGUUAGGUCUGUUCGA